This 112-nucleotide ribosomal RNA is filed under the name Prevotellaceae bacterium. Lineage: Bacteria; Pseudomonadati; Bacteroidota; Bacteroidia; Bacteroidales; Prevotellaceae. The record is from RNAcentral.
CAAGGUGGUUAUAGCGGCGGGGAUACACCUCUUCCCUUACCGAACAGAGAAGUUAAGCCCGCUUGCGCCGAUGGUACUGCACACAAUGUGGAAGAGUAGGCAGCCGCCAAAA